GAUCGUUUAGCUCAGUUGGUUAGAGCGUGGUGCUAAUAACGCCAAGAUCGCGAGUUCGACCCUCGUAAUGAUCA
This 74-nucleotide transfer RNA is filed under the name Mollisia scopiformis. Its description in RNAcentral is "Phialocephala scopiformis tRNA". It matches the Rfam family "tRNA". Rfam says of the family: Transfer RNA (tRNA) molecules are approximately 80 nucleotides in length. The record is from Rfam by way of RNAcentral. Lineage: Eukaryota; Fungi; Ascomycota; Leotiomycetes; Helotiales; Mollisiaceae.